RNAcentral lists this ribosomal RNA (449 nucleotides) under uncultured bacterium. Its description in RNAcentral is "partial 16S ribosomal RNA". It matches the Rfam family "Bacterial small subunit ribosomal RNA", at positions 30 to 523 of the family's 1533-position model. The record is from RNAcentral.
ACCGAACGCUGGCGGCAUGCCUAACACAUGCAAGUCGAACGAAGGCUUCGGCCUUAGUGGCGCACGGGUGCGUAACGCGUGGGAAUCUGCCCUUGGGUGCGGAAUAACUCAGAGAAAUUUGUGCUAAUACCGCAUAAUGUCGCAAGACCAAAGAUUUAUCGCCCAAGGAUGAGCCCGCGUAGGAUUAGCUUGUUGGUGAGGUAAGAGCUCACCAAGGCGACGAUCCUUAGCUGGUCUGAGAGGAUGAUCAGCCACACUGGGACUGAGACACGGCCCAGACUCCUACGGGAGGCAGCAGUGGGGAAUAUUGGACAAUGGGCGAAAGCCUGAUCCAGCAAUGCCGCGUGAGUGAUGAAGGCCUUAGGGUUGUAAAGCUCUUUUACCCGGGAUGAUAAUGACAGUACCGGGAGAAUAAGCUCCGGCUAACUCCGUGCCAGCAGCCGCGGUAA